AUUUAUAUAGUUUAAAAUAAAACCUUACAUUUUCACUGUAAAAAUAAAUAUAUUAUUUUAUAAAUA
Molecule: transfer RNA, 66 nt
Filed under: Coquillettidia linealis
Lineage: Eukaryota; Metazoa; Arthropoda; Insecta; Diptera; Culicidae
Also listed under: 1 other name
Description: tRNA-Glu
Source: RNAcentral